AUGGGGGCGCCGCCGUGGAGGCUGCUGUGCUGCUGCUGCUGCCGCGAGUCCGAUCGCAAUGGGGUGGACGACCUCAAGCUCAAGCCCGACGCCGCCGAUGGGGAGGAGGGGGCGGCGGGGGACUGGUACGACCUCCCGCCAUUCCAGGACUUCACCUUCCAGCAGCUGCGCCUCGCCACCUCGGGCUUCGCCGCCGAGAACAUCAUCUCCGAGAGCGGCGACAAGGCGCCUAACGUCGUCUACAAGGGCAAGCUCGACGCCCAGCGCCGUAUCGCCGUCAAGCGCUUCAGCCGCUCUGCCUGGCCCGACCCGCGCCAGUUCAUGGAAGAAGCUAAGUCUGUUGGCCAGCUCCGGAACAAAAGAAUCGUAAAUUUGCUUGGUUGUUGCUGUGAAGCCGAUGAAAGAUUGCUUGUUGCUGAGUACAUGCCCAAUGACACACUGGCGAAGCAUCUGUUCCAUUGGGAGUCACAGGCAAUGGUAUGGCCCAUGAGAUUACGGGUUGUUCUGUAUCUUGCCGAGGCUUUAGACUACUGCAUAAGCAAGGAGCGGGCUCUCUAUCAUGAUCUUAAUGCCUAUAGAGUUCUGUUUGAUGAUGACUGCAACCCUAGGCUUUCAUGUUUCGGCCUAAUGAAGAACAGUCGGGAUGGCAAAAGUUACAGCACCAAUUUGGCAUUCACUCCUCCUGAAUAUAUGAGGACUGGAAGAAUUACUCCGGAAAGUGUCAUAUACAGCUUUGGCACAUUGUUGUUGGAUGUUCUUAGUGGGAAGCAUAUUCCUCCUAGCCAUGCUCUUGAUCUGAUUCGUGAUCGAAACUUCAGUAUGCUCAUAGACUCCUGUUUAGAGGGCCAAUUUUCGAACGAGGAAGGAACAGACCUGAUGCGUUUAGCUUCAAGGUGCCUGCAUUAUGAACCACGAGAGCGGCCUAAUUCCCAAUCUUACGAUCUGAUGGAUAAGCCCCGUGGUGGUGCAUUUACUCUUCAAUCAAUUCAUCUUUCUCCUCUUGCGGAAGCUUGCUCCAGAAAGGAUCUUACUGCAAUACAUGAACAUCUAGAAACAGCUGGCUAUAAAGACGAUGAGGGAACAGCAAAUGAGCUCUCAUUUCAGAUGUGGACUAAUCAAAUGCAAGCUACAAUUGACUCAAAAAAGAAGGGCGACACUGCAUUUCGACAAAAGGAUUUUAGCAUGGCCAUUGAUUGCUACUCUCAGUUCAUUGAUGUUGGUACCAUGGUUUCACCGACAAUUUAUGCGAGGCGUUGCUUAUCAUAUCUCAUGAAUGACAUGCCACAACAAGCUCUGGAUGAUGCAGUGCAGGCUCUGGCGAUAUUUCCUACAUGGCCAACUGCAUUUUAUCUUCAGGCUGCGGCCCUAUUUUCAUUAGGAAAAGAAAACGAAGCUCGAGAAGCACUCAAGGAUGGUUCGGCUGUGGAGACAAGGAGUAAGGGGCAUUGA
Molecule: ribosomal RNA, 1449 nt
Filed under: Triticum aestivum (bread wheat)
Lineage: Eukaryota; Viridiplantae; Streptophyta; Magnoliopsida; Poales; Poaceae
Description: partial small subunit ribosomal RNA
Source: RNAcentral